AAAAAACAAUUUGUAUUGUACUAUAAAUUUGGCCCAAUCUCAUUGGUAUAGCUUUUGCCCACUUUUCUUGCUGACACGUAUUGAAUUGUUCUUCUUUUUGGAAUGACACGUACUUAUCUUUUCGGGUCAUUUGCUUCCGUUCCUACUUCAAUUGUUAGUUCUCCUUCUUCGAUUUUUCUAUGUCAAUUGCAUCUUCAUCUCUCUUGCUAUCUGUCUCAUGUAUCUCUCUCUUACUAUUCUGGUUUUGUUUUAGAAUUUUUCAAUUUUGGCUCGAGUUUUGCUCUGGCGAUGUUGUAUUUCCGACUAACAGAUAAGUGUUCAUUCUUUAAGGAUUUUCCGUCUUCUCCUCCAAUUCCAUAGACGAUAUUUAUUGGUUGAGUCACUGCUAACUUUGGAAUCUCUGAUGGCUAUUCUAGAAUUAUUUGCGCAUUAAAGUUUAUUCAUAAUUGAGUUUGCUCAUGCAUUUUCUGCUUUGAAUAUUAUGUGUCAAAUUUCUUGAUUUUCUCCAGAUUUCCUAAAAGGACGUUCUUAGAGAGGUUUUGAAGAUCCGGGGGGGACUGUAAUUGGGUAUUACUUUUUCCCUUCUCUUUCAUCCUUCGGGGCCCGAUUGAAAAACAACUGAAAUUACCAACUCUACUGCAGAAUUUAUUGCGUUUGCUCUUUUUUAAAAUAAAAACAAAAAUAUUUUGAACAUGCAUGUACUCAUUCAUUAUUUUUGUGUCAAUUUCAUAGCUCUCAGUAGAGAUUAAGAAGUAUUCGACGAGAAUAGAGAAAUACUCUGUGAACAAAAUCCCAAAGGUCAGUAAUGCAUUUAUGUCAUGUCAAUUAUUACUUACGAUCUAUAUUGAAGUUGGUCAAUUAUGACUUACUUUAGCUACUCAGUUUGGUCUAAUUUUAAGUGCAACUGGUAAAAAAAGAUGUAGAUGGGCUUGUAGUAGGGGCAAUAAGGUUGAUGGAAGCCGAGGUGAGUAAGAUAAAGAGUACAUCACUUGAUGCCAUUAGUAAAUUCCUGAAAUUUUAUGUUCACCGGGAGAGAGAAUGUGUAACAAGUUUCAAUUUAAAGAAACUUCUUUUUGAUUAUUUUAUCUGCGCAUUUGUGUGAUAAACAUGUAAGCAUAUGUCUGAAAUUAUAGUUCGAAGACUUGCCAACUGAAGCACUUCUGCUUUGAUGAUAACUGAACUAAGCUCUGGCCGCUUGUUUUAAGCUAAUUAUGAUUUCACUGCUAAAUUGUUGUAAAUUAGGUUCAUGCUAAUAAAAGGGAAGAAAAUAAACUUAUCAUUUUUGCGUCUAAUAUUUCUUAAAUCUUUCCUUAUGUUAGUAACUAUAUAGACAUCUCAGUUCACAUUGAUUUGGACUAUAAUUUACAGCUUUAAAGCUUCAUAUUUGAUGUUCAUGUUGCUUACAGAUGUACCUUUGGACCCAACACUCAGCAAAUAGGAAAACGACAUUGUGGCAAGUUAUUCAUAUUUUACUUAUUAUAGAACAAAAGAGGAAUAAAAGGUUUGAUUAUUUUUUUCAUCUUCACAUGAUCAAUGACUUAAUUCAUCCAGUCUAUUACCUGGAGUUUAUCAUUGACGUUUUCAAUAUUGCCAUAGGUACUAACAAUCAAUUGUAGUUGGAGCUUCUAUUACCGGACUACUUAUAUGAUAAAAUAAUUCACUAGCACAUUAAAAAUCUGGCCCAAAGAAAAGAGAAGGAAAAUGGCACUUCGCUAAGAGAAUGUAAUGAAGCUAAAAUUAUCUCUCUUUUCAUGUUUCUAAUUUGUGUCUAUUUAAUGUCUGCUAGGUCAGAUUUUGUUGUUGAAUCUCCUUUUAUUUCACUUAAUUGCUCCAAUAGACCUAAGGCAGCCCAUUUAUAUUCGAUAAGUUUUGCUGGAAUGCUUGAUGAAGUGAAUUGGAUGAAUCCAAGAAAUUGAAUUGCAUUAUGAGACCCUUUUGUUCCUUAGUAAAUCAUAAUUUUCUUUCAUUUAUUUCUUUUUCUAUUUAUUUGUUUUAUGAGCGUCCUCAUUGGUACAUAUAGCCACUUAUAACUGCUUCGGAAGAACCUGUGGGCAACCUGCUUAAUGAAUCUGCUCAAAAGGUAAACAUUUUAUUGAAAUAUGUUUUUAUAUCCCUAUGAUCUUUCUCUGGUAUAUUAUCGGAUAUAUGGUAAGCAUUAUUGUGGUUCUCCUCCUCUGAUACAAGUGUCUGAUGCAAAUGUGCUUUGAUCAAUUGCUAUAGACUAUAAUAAGGGUGAAAAGUGAAUUAACUUUUAAUUCAACAAUCCUUCCUCAUUGAUAGUUUGAAGUAAUUGUAUAAUCAUGUGAAAUGGCUAGGUGUUGAUAUUCGACAGAUGGACUUAUAGUACUAACACUUCAUGAUGAAUGGCUAAGUGAAUCUUGCAAUUCUGUAGCUAGAUUUUUGAUAAGCUUGGUGUGACUAAAAGAGAGGAUCAAGUUCUUUUAGAAUAGAUAUUGGUUAGUAAUAAUCAAAAUGUUCCUUCAAGGACAUCCGAUAAAUUAACAAUAAAAAAGAAUAUAUUUUGGUUUUUCCAAAAAAUCUGACCAUUGUGACUUGAUUAGUGUUCCUUUAGACGAAUAAUCCAAAAUAUUUUUUCAUUUUAGAUGAAUUUUCACUUUUAAUAGCUUAUGUACCUGUGAGCCAGUUUCGCAUGUGAUUUGGAUGCAUUACUUCAUAUUGUAGGUAUUCUUGAUGAAAAAGAGAAAAAGAACAGUUAGGAAAGAAUAAUUAACCCAAAGUAGAAUUAGACUGAUUUAAAAUUCUAUCAAUACGAAAUGCUGCAUUCAGAUUCUUUUGGGAGGAGUAAGUGCUUUUUGUGGUUUCAAGGGUAUUCGUGGCUGAUGUCCCACUACGAGUUUUGAUUUUUGGAAACUGAAUAUUGCCAUGUUUGACUUGGAGAUAUUCUUUUCGGAUUAAAAGUUUGUCUUGAAGAUAGGGUUAUGAUGCUCAUUAACCUAACUCCGUUCCUAGGCUUAAAAUCCUGUUGAGAAGAUAUACAUAAAUUUAAUUUAGAUUAUAUAAUCUAAGGUUUAAUGUCUAUGUUUGACUUAUUUAUUAGCAUAUAGCAAAAAAGCCUAACUUUGUUGGGAUGGAGAAGGAACAAGCACAAUGAGAACUUUUAGCUUUCCUUGAGGCUGUUCAACCCAGUUUGAUGGUUUUGUUUGAGAAGAGGAGAAUGUUAUUCAAGAUUAAGUUUAUGCAGUUGAGGGCCGGGGAUGGUGAUUCUGUCAUACUAUCAUUGUUCUUUCUAUUGUAAGUUAUUAGUUUCUACCUGAUGAUAUUCUUGCUAUAUUCCAAUUUUUAGCUUCAAAUAUUCCUGAACAAAAUUUUUAUGGCACUUAGCAUGAAGUUGCAAGCUACACUGUAAACUGGUAUUUCACAUAGGCAAAACAUUACAUGUAUGUUGCGACUGUAAAAAGCAUUUGUGAUUCGACUCAACAUGGACAUAAAAUAGACUUUCAACAAGCAUAUAAAUACUUAAAAGUGUUGAACUUGAAACAUGCUUAGCCUGUCAUUAAUUAUUUAAAGAAUACUAACAUUUUAUGUCCUCUUUUAAAUGUUUUGCAGGAAAAUGGACAGAGGGCUCGACUAACUGUCUUGAGUGCCAGAUUAGAGUCAUUGAUGCAUAUGGUUUUGUGUUGUCCAAGUUAAAUUGGACAUAGCAUGGUGUAAUACUUUGGGUGCUUCAUCUCUUUACCGCACAUUCCCUCAAGAAAAUCUCAUGUUUCUAACGUUCCUUUGUUACUUUUCAACGUUCUUGUAUGGGUUUGUCAUAUUUGGAUUUACAUGGUUUCUUCACUUUUUAUUAAGUAAAAAUAAAAUGUAUCAAUAUAUUUCAUAUUUCAUGGACCAAUAUGCCGGGC
Molecule: long non-coding RNA, 3863 nt
Filed under: Nicotiana tabacum (common tobacco)
Lineage: Eukaryota; Viridiplantae; Streptophyta; Magnoliopsida; Solanales; Solanaceae
Description: long non-coding RNA (NTAB_LNC006359)
Source: RNAcentral